GUAGGUGGCAAGCGUUGUCCGGAAUUAUUGGGCGUAAAGCGCGCGCAGGUGGUUCUUUAAGUCUGAUGUGAAAGCCCCCGGCUCAACCGGGGAGGGUCAUUGGAAACUGGGGAGCUUGAGUGCAGGAGAGGAAAGUGGAAUUCCACGUGUAGCGGUGAAAUGCGUAGAUAUGUGGAGGAACACCAGUGGCGAAGGCGACUUUCUGGCCUGUAACUGACACUGAGGCGCGAAAGCGUGGGGAGCAAACAGGGAUUAGAUACCCUGGUAGUCCACGCCGUAAACGAUGAGUGCUAAGUGUUGGGGGGGUUUCCGCCCCCUCAGUGCUGCAGCUAACGCAUUAAGCACUCCGCCUGGGAGUACGGUCGCAAGACUG
This 373-nucleotide ribosomal RNA is filed under the name uncultured organism. RNAcentral's name for it is "partial 16S ribosomal RNA". It matches the Rfam family "Bacterial small subunit ribosomal RNA", at positions 527 to 896 of the family's 1533-position model. The record is from RNAcentral.